RNAcentral lists this long non-coding RNA (209 nucleotides) under Zostera marina. RNAcentral describes it as "long non-coding RNA (ZMAR_LNC003584)". Lineage: Eukaryota; Viridiplantae; Streptophyta; Magnoliopsida; Alismatales; Zosteraceae. The record is from RNAcentral.
GCCAAACCUGACACAGAUAAAGUCAUCCAGGAAGUACAUGAAGGAUCGUGCGGGCUCCACGAGGAAAGAAGUAUAUGAAGGAUCGUGCGCAAAAAAUAUUUCUGUCAGGAACCCUCGUCACGCGAAAAGCUAGCAUAACAGAAAGAAACUGACCAAGAAAUAAGUUAUCGUCCAACUUCGAAGGACCCUACAUCAUCGAAGAAGAGAUA